GAUGAACGCUGGCGGCGUGCCUAAUACAUGCGAGUCGAGCGAACAGACGAGGAGCUUGCUCCUCUGACGUUAGCGGCGGACGGGUGAGUAACACGUGGAUAACCUACCUAUAAGACUGGGAUAACUUCGGGAAACCGGAGCUAAUACCGGAUAAUAUAUUGAACCGCAUGGUUCAAUAGAGAAAGACGGUUUUGCUGUCACUUAUAGAUGGAUCCGCGCCGCAUUAGCUAGUUGGUAAGGUAACGGCUUACCAAGGCGACGAUGCGUAGCCGACCUGAGAGGGUGAUCGGCCACACUGGAACUGAGACACGGUCCAGACUCCUACGGGAGGCAGCAGUAGGGAAUCUUCCGCAAUGGGCGAAAGCCUGACGGAGCAACGCCGCGUGAGUGAUGAAGGUCUUCGGAUCGUAAAACUCUGUUAUUAGGGAAGAACAAAUGUGUAAGUAACUAUGCACGUCUUGACGGUACCUAAUCAGAAAGCCACGGCUAACUACGUG
Molecule: ribosomal RNA, 497 nt
Filed under: uncultured bacterium
Lineage: Bacteria
Description: partial 16S ribosomal RNA
Rfam family: Bacterial small subunit ribosomal RNA
Source: RNAcentral